GGGUCGCUAGCUCAAUGGUAGAGCAAAUGCCUCUUAAGCAUUAGGUUCAGGGUUCGAAUCCCUGGCGACUCA
This 72-nucleotide transfer RNA is filed under the name Candidatus Beckwithbacteria bacterium. RNAcentral's name for it is "tRNA-Lys". It matches the Rfam family "tRNA". From Rfam's summary of the family: Transfer RNA (tRNA) molecules are approximately 80 nucleotides in length. Their secondary structure includes four short double-helical elements and three loops (D, anti-codon, and T loops). Lineage: Bacteria; Candidatus Beckwithiibacteriota. The record is from RNAcentral.